UAUUUGGGCAUGAAUUUACUGCCCUUGCCAGUGACAAGGAGGUGUUGCUGUGAUGCUGACACAGCCAUGGAGCUGCAGAAACACCAUUCUGGGCACUGCAGCGAGGGAAGGUGUUCAGGGCAGGUGUAAAAGUGGGCCAGGCAUGACAUAAAAUAGAGGAGGACAAGUGUGCUCUGCUUCCAGAGGCUGGGGGAAGAUGCUGAGCAGGAGCUGUAGCAGGACAUCACGGGGGGUGGAGGGAGCCAGAGAAACAUCUAGCGUUGGUGCCCUCUGUGCAGUGAGCUCACAGCCCGUUGGGAUUGGCCAGGAACUGGGUCAGGAUGCAGCAGGAUGAAGGAAACAGAACCUGAAGCCCUUGAGCAAGGCCCCUUCCCCCCCUGCUGAGCUUGUGCUGAUGCUCUCAGGCUCUUCCCUGCUCCAGCACCCUCCCACCAGCCCCUCGGAGAGCUGGAUGCUCCUGCAAGCCCAGCCUGCCUCAAAGCACUGAAUGCUGCAGCCAGACACGAAGCUCAGCUGUGAGGAUGAAGAAGGGAGCUUGGAACACCCAGGCUACUGAAGAGAUGCAUCAGCGCCUGCUCCCAGCUGUAGGAGCAGGAAGGAGUGCUGGGAGCUCCCUCCCCACAAAGUGCAGAGAGGUCUCAUCCUUGCUGGAUCCUUCCCCUGCUGCUGUGUUGGCUCCAUGUGUAAAGGGCUUGGCAAAGGAGGAUAUCAGGGAGAGAUCAAGUAUCCCUUUCUGUGGUCAGGGUACACCUCCUCCAUGCCAUCUUUGGAGCCCCAGGUGCUGUUUGAAAUCCUCCACUGGCUCAUCCCUGCAUGCCCUGUCCGUGGGGGACAGGGAGGAUGCUCGGCACGCGCACUGGAACCUCAGGCAGGGCGGGAUGUGCCCGAUCCAUUUCAUUUCUGGCAGCAGUGGGAGAAAAGAGAGCCUUGGAAACCUAUAAAUCAACCAUCUCUCAAACUGUGUGGGAUUAAGGAAAAGGUGCAGAAUAGAAAUGAUUUCCUCGGGGGGAAGCACAUCCUUUCAUUUGCCGAGGAAAAUGAUGUCUUCAUCAGUUGUCUUCCAGAGACUCUGAAAAGAAUUAAAGGAGGGCUCAGAG
This is a non-coding RNA of Cyanistes caeruleus (blue tit), 1097 nucleotides long. The record is from RefSeq and is a predicted model, not a curated record. NCBI's taxonomy places the organism in Eukaryota, Metazoa, Chordata, Aves, Passeriformes, Paridae.